UACGAAGGGGGCGAGCGUUGUUCGGAAUUACUGGGCGUAAAGGGCCAGUAGGCGGCCAACUAAGUCGGAUGUGAAAUCCCCAGGCUCAACUUGGGAACUGCAUCCGAUACUGGAUGGCUUGAAUUCGGGAGAGGGAUGCAGAAUUCCAGGUGUAGCGGUGAAAUGCGUAGAUAUCUGGAGGAAUACCGGUGGCGAAGGCGGCAUCCUGGACCGACAUUGACGCUGAACGGCGAAAGCUAGGGGAGCAAACGGG
Molecule: ribosomal RNA, 253 nt
Filed under: uncultured bacterium
Lineage: Bacteria
Description: partial 16S ribosomal RNA
Rfam family: Bacterial small subunit ribosomal RNA
Source: RNAcentral